RNAcentral lists this ribosomal RNA (472 nucleotides) under uncultured bacterium. Its description in RNAcentral is "bacterial SSU rRNA". It matches the Rfam family "Bacterial small subunit ribosomal RNA", at positions 355 to 825 of the family's 1533-position model. The record is from RNAcentral.
UGGGGAAUAUUGGACAAUGGGGGGAACCCUGAUCCAGCAAUGCCGCGUGUGUGAAGAAGGUCUUCGGAUUGUAAAGCACUUUAAGUUGGGAGGAAGGGCAGUUACCUAAUACGUGAUUGUUUUGACGUUACCGACAGAAUAAGCACCGGCUAACUCUGUGCCAGCAGCCGCGGUAAUACAGAGGGUGCAAGCGUUAAUCGGAAUUACUGGGCGUAAAGCGCGCGUAGGUGGUUAGUUAAGUUGGAUGUGAAAUCCCCGGGCUCAACCUGGGAACUGCAUUCAAAACUGACUGACUAGAGUAUGGUAGAGGGUGGUGGAAUUUCCUGUGUAGCGGUGAAAUGCGUAGAUAUAGGAAGGAACACCAGUGGCGAAGGCGACCACCUGGACUGAUACUGACACUGAGGUGCGAAAGCGUGGGGAGCAAACAGGAUUAGAUACCCAUGUAGUCCCUGAGCGGGCUGGCAAGGCGCAU